UGCAAGUCGAACGCCGUAGCAAUACGGAGUGGCAGACGGGAUAGUAACACGUGGGAACGCGCCCUUCGGUUCGGAAUAACUCAGGGAAACUUGAGCUAAUACCGGAUACGCCCUAACGGGGAAAGAUUUAUUGCCGAAGGAACGGCCCGCGUCCGAUUAGCUAGUUGGUGAGGUAAUGGCUCACCAAGGCGACGAUCGGUAGCUGGUCUGAGAGGAUGACCAGCAUCACUGGGACUGAGACACGGCCCAGACUCCUACGGGAGGCAGCAGUGGGGAAUAUUGGACAAUGGGCGCAAGCCUGAUCCAGCCAUGCCGCGUGGAUGAUGAAGGCCUUAGGGUUGUAAAGUCCUUUUAACGGGGAAGAUAAUGACGGUACCCGUAGAAUAAGCCCCGGCUAACUUCGUGCCAGCAGCCGCGGUAAUACGAAGGGGGCUAGCGUUGCUCGGAAUUACUGGGCGUAAAGCGCACGUAGGCGGACUCUUAAGUCGGUGGUGAAAUCCUGGAGCUCAACUCCAGAACUGCCUUCGAUACUGGGAGUCUUGAGUCCGGGAGAGGUGAGUGGAACUGCGAGUGUAGAGGUGAAAUUCGUAGAUAUUCGCAAGAACACCAGUGGCGAAGGCGGCUCACUGG
RNAcentral lists this ribosomal RNA (630 nucleotides) under uncultured Alphaproteobacteria bacterium. Its description in RNAcentral is "bacterial SSU rRNA". It matches the Rfam family "Bacterial small subunit ribosomal RNA", at positions 56 to 732 of the family's 1533-position model. Lineage: Bacteria; Pseudomonadati; Pseudomonadota; Alphaproteobacteria. The record is from RNAcentral.